This 927-nucleotide ribosomal RNA is filed under the name uncultured bacterium. RNAcentral describes it as "bacterial SSU rRNA". It matches the Rfam family "Bacterial small subunit ribosomal RNA", at positions 8 to 916 of the family's 1533-position model. The record is from RNAcentral.
AGAGUUUGAUCCUGGCUCAGAACGAACGCUGGCGGCGUGCCUAACACAUGCAAGUCGAGCGCGAAUGGAGCAAUCCUAGUAGAGCGGCGCACGGGUGCGUAACACGUGGAUAAUCUGCCUGGGUGUCUGGGAUAACCAGUCGAAAGAUUGGCUAAUACCGGAUAAGCCCCCGGGAGCUUCGGCUCUUGAGGGAAAAGGUGGCCUCUGUAUACAAGCUAUCACAUCCAGAUGAGUCCGCGGCCCAUCAGCUAGUUGGCGGGGUAAUGGCCCACCAAGGCAACGACGGGUAGCUGGUCUGAGAGGACGAUCAGCCACACUGGAACUGAGACACGGUCCAGACUCCUACGGGAGGCAGCAGUGGGGAAUUUUGCGCAAUGGGCGAAAGCCUGACGCAGCAACGCCGCGUGUGUGAUGAAGGUCUUCGGAUUGUAAAGCACUUUCGACCGGGACGAAAACCCGUUGGCUAACAUCCAACGGCUUGACGGUACCGGGAGAAGAAGCACCGGCUAACUCUGUGCCAGCAGCCGCGGUAAUACAGAGGGUGCAAGCGUUGUUCGGAAUUAUUGGGCGUAAAGCGCGUGUAGGCGGCUUUGCAAGUCGGGUGUGAAAGCCCUCAGCUCAACUGAGGAAGUGCGCCCGAAACUGCAGAGCUUGAGUGCCGGAGAGGGUGGCGGAAUUCCCCAAGUAGAGGUGAAAUUCGUAGAUAUGGGGAGGAACACCGGUGGCGAAGGCGGCCACCUGGACGGUAACUGACGCUGAGACGCGAAAGCGUGGGUAGCAAACAGGAUUAGAUACCCUGGUAGUCCACGCCGUAAACGAUGAGAACUAGGUGUCGUGGGUGUUGACCCCCGCGGUGCCGUAGCUAACGCAUUAAGUUCUCCGCCUGGGAAGUACGGUCGCAAGACUAAAACUCAAAGGAAUUGACGG